AAUUAUAACACGUGGAGUAAUGCAUCCCCGAAACACUUCAAGACAUUUCCCCACAGGAUCCCCUCUCCACAUUUCAAUCUCUCACGAGCAACCCAUAGCCCCUACCUUCCAGCCGGACCUCCCCAUAAAGUCCACAGCCACCAGUCUCCGAACGGCCCACUUUAGGAGCAAGCAAUACAAUAGCAGAGAAGGUGAGAUCAAUCAUCGAAUACUUCGAGUAAGCAAUCCAACAAUGGUGUUUAUGAGGGGUGAGCCACUGGUGGCAAAGCUGGCAGUGUUGGCCAAGUACGUGGUUCUUCCGGGAGCCAUGGCGGCUGCUGUCAUUUACUCUCCUCCUGGUUACGCAUCCUACUACAACCCCACCAAGUAUGAGAAGUCGUCGAAAUAGAUCUCAGGGCAUAUUGAUCGCUUAGGCAUGCAUGCUUGCAAAUAUGCAAUACCUUUGGGAAAAGGUGUUAUCUAAAUAAUUCUCUUGACCUAAUAAUUGUUGAAUCUCAUGUGUAUUUGGAGAGAUGAAUGCAUGUUGUUUUUGUUUGAAGAACUUUGAGGAGUAGUUCUCUUCUUCUUCAUUUUUUUUUUUUUUUUUUUUUUUUUUUUUUUUUUUUUUUUGUGCGUGUGUGUGGCUUUCCCACAAUUAAUUGAUUUCUAAUCAAGACAAGAUUGUUCUGUUUUAAUAUCAUGGAAUGUAUGAAUGCUCAAAUUUAGAAUA
This is an RNA transcript of Quercus robur (English oak), 709 nucleotides long. RefSeq lists it as uncharacterized. The transcript has 3 exons. Lineage: Eukaryota; Viridiplantae; Streptophyta; Magnoliopsida; Fagales; Fagaceae. The record is from RefSeq and is a predicted model, not a curated record.